GUAUGUCGUGAGAAUGGCGUUAGAAUGAAGCGUCCGUACCUACCCCCUCCACUUCUCUCUCUCGAAUUCUCAAACGCCAGACGGGAUUAAAUGCGGCCACCACCUCAUCGCACCCAAAGCCCCACGUCUUGCAAUCUCCCCGCCCUCCGCCGCGCCCCUUCGGUCUCCACCGGCACCCACCUCCUCGCCAUUUUCCCCUAUCUCGCGCUCGCCCUCGAAGAUUUUGCCAAAGAUGGAAAGAAGUACCAGAAGCCACCAUUGGCAUUCAUCUCAUAGAAUCAGGUCAACACAUAUCCUUUACCUUCAUACCACCGGAAAAUUCCUAGAAAAGCAGAAAAUCCAAGGAAAGCAUCAUUGGCCUUGGAGAAAAAGGAUUGGGAAGGCGCAACCUCCUGUGUGCUUGGAGUUCCCACACCAUGCCGUCCUGCUCCUCUGCUCGUCUCAUGACAAGGGCUGCCGUCCCUACAUGUGUGGGACCAGCUACACUUCUCUAACUGCCUUGAUCAAUUCCAGAAGGCAUAUGCUAAAGAGGCAUCUCUCAUAAUGAGUCUGUGGCAGAAAACCUGAGCCAUGGUUGGCCUGCAUGGACGAAAUCUGAGGUAAUGGAGCUAACAUGCCACUAUGUCGUGGGCAGGUGAAGGAUGGACUGUGGUGGAACCGGCACGAGAACAUCUCAAUGGAAAAAAGAGAAGUUGCAUGCAGGACAAUUGCUCAUUCCUUGGGUCAUACAAAGAGCUCUGGAAGCUGUGAAGGCUGAGCAUCCAUUUGCAAAGCCUCGUGCAGUGGACCCUGCACAUGAACAGAAGUGGAGAGCAUUGGAGUACCAGAGCGAGCGAGCAGAUGUGCUCAGUACGGUAAGGUCAUCGAUGCCAAGGGCAGUGGUGUUUGGGGAUUAUGUGAUAGACAUGGAUAUAGUGACUUGAGAGUGAUGAUGAUGGGGAUGGAAUCUUUGAAGGAAAUAGGAGUAUUUUUAUUUGAUCUUUCGGGAGGCUGCUCGUCUUGGGAGGCGAAACAUUAGCAAUGGCAUAGCUGAGGUGAGGGAAGAGGGUGAUGGUUGUUCCUGUAUGGCUGCUGGAGGUGGUGCUGCUGCUGAUUUAACUGUUGUUCGCAUCGUCGGAGGCAUAUGAUAAAGUGCAGUGCGUGCAAUCAGAUCUGAUAGACAACAGAGGCGGCUGCAGCUGCAGCAGCGACGUCGUAGGAGACGGGGGAGAAGUGUGAACUGAUGUGAAUUGGGAUGGCACUGAGGUUUCAUCAUUGGCUAGUUAAAUGGGAGGAAGUUCACAUUUAUGAUGUUUGGGUUACCAGAUAUAUUCGAAUUAUUUUUUUAAAAAAAAUUAAUGUUCAUUUACUAAAGGUGUUAUCAGUUUAGUAUUUUGUCAAUUAUUUACCUGGUUGGUAGUGGCAGCCAGAAAGCAUUGAUAAGCCCUGAUAAUUGUGGUUGCUUGUCAUGCUGCGUAUUCCAGUAAGAAUCCAUGGCUGAAUC
Molecule: non-coding RNA, 1483 nt
Organism: Phoenix dactylifera (date palm)
Lineage: Eukaryota; Viridiplantae; Streptophyta; Magnoliopsida; Arecales; Arecaceae
Source: RefSeq, a predicted model, not a curated record